UGGUGGGUAGUUUGACUGGGGCGGUCUCCUCCUAAAGAGUAACGGAGGAGCACGAAGGUUGGCUAAUCCUGGUCGGACAUCAGGAGGUUAGUGCAAUGGCAUAAGCCAGCUUGACUGCGAGCGUGACGGCGCGAGCAGGUGCGAAAGCAGGUCAUAGUGAUCCGGUGGUUCUGAAUGGAAGGGCCAUCGCUCAACGGAUAAAAGGUACUCCGGGGAUAACAGGCUGAUACCGCCCAAGAGUUCAUAUCGACGGCGGUGUUUGGCACCUCGAUGUCGGCUCAUCACAUCCUGGGGCUGAAGUAGGUCCCAAGGGUAUGGCUGUUCGCCAUUUAAAGUGGUACGCGAGCUGGGUUUAGAACGUCGUGAGACAGUUCGGUCCCUAUCUGCCGUGGGCGCUGGAGAAUUGAGGGGGGCUGCUCCUAGUACGAGAGGACCGGAGUGGACGCAUCACUGGUGUUCGGGUUGUCAUGCCAAUGGCACUGCCCGGUAGCUAAAUGCGGAAGAGAUAAGUGCUGAAAGCAUCUAAGCACGAAACUUGCCCCGAGAUGAGUUCUCCCUGACUCCUUGAGAGUCC
Molecule: ribosomal RNA, 574 nt
Filed under: Escherichia coli
Lineage: Bacteria; Pseudomonadati; Pseudomonadota; Gammaproteobacteria; Enterobacterales; Enterobacteriaceae
Description: partial 23S ribosomal RNA
Rfam family: Bacterial large subunit ribosomal RNA
Source: RNAcentral